GAUGAACGCUGGCGGCGUGCUUAACACAUGCAAGUCGAACGGAACUCAUUGGAUCAAGACUUCGGUCAAGUGAAUUUGAGUUUAGUGGCGGACGGGUGAGUAACGCGUGAGGAACCUGCCUCGGAGUGGGGAAUAACAGUUGGAAACGACUGCUAAUACCGCAUAAUGCAUUUGGGUCGCAUGAUCCGGAUGCCAAAGAUUUAUCGCUCUGAGAUGGCCUCGCGUCUGAUUAGCUAGUUGGCGGGGUAAUGGCCCACCAAGGCGACGAUCAGUAGCCGGACUGAGAGGUUGGCCGGCCACAUUGGGACUGAGACACGGCCCAGACUCCUACGGGAGGCAGCAGUGGGGAAUAUUGGGCAAUGGGCGCAAGCCUGACCCAGGCAACGCCGCGUGAAGGAAGAAGGACUUUCGGGUUGUAAACUUCUUUUAUCUAGGGACGAAUAUUGACGGUACCU
RNAcentral lists this ribosomal RNA (455 nucleotides) under uncultured bacterium. Its description in RNAcentral is "bacterial SSU rRNA". It matches the Rfam family "Bacterial small subunit ribosomal RNA", at positions 28 to 480 of the family's 1533-position model. The record is from RNAcentral.